GUUUUCUCAGGUAAUUUGUUUAAUUAUCUACCAACAGUAUCAAAACAUUACUAAGUAAUUAAUGUAACUUUCAAUACUUGCAGUGAUCAUGGAGAAAAGAAUCCUUCAUUGGGAAAACUGGAAGCUGACGGAGAUAGCCGCCGGGGCUGAUUGGAAUCGAUACAACCUUCGGGUGAAUUCAGAAAAGGUAAAAACAGCUACGAGGAUACGAUUGAUGGCUAAGUGGGCUAAGUUUCAUAUAGACUGUUCAAUCGAGCAUGUAGCCGUCAGCGUCAAAUCUAUUCUUGGAUUUGAACUUCCGGAAGAGAAUAUGACACAAUAACUUCCGUAAUGUGUCAACAUUCACAUGAAAAUUAUGCACAUAUCAGAAGUACUGGAAGUAGCAGACGUUCCCAACAUGGAUUUGUAAGCUUUUACGAUGAACACAAAUUGAAAGCUGAAGGAAUCAGCUGUCAAGUGGGAAUGGCUGAUUGAAAGCUUCAGAGCCGUAAGAACCUUCGGGAAAUCCAACUUUAGAAAUGGAUCUCCGCUUGACGAAGUAAGUAGUAUCUGGAUCACCCUUCAUGCCAACAUAAAAACGCAACACAUCGAGUGCAUCCGGCAGGCUUCGCUACAAACCACAGGAAUCAUUCCGUGUUCAUGCAGUCCGGAUGAUAGUCAACAAAACAUUAGCUGAAUGUAAUACAACAAGCUAUCGAUUUUCUGAUCUCUUUUUGAUUGUUGUAUUAGGAUCUAUUUUCAAUCUUGAUAAUUUUAUCAUUUCAGUAAAGGAUUGGGGAGGAUUACUAAAGGCGCUCGACAAAGAUAAGAUAGAAGAAAAUGUUUUAUACAAACGAAUUA
Molecule: long non-coding RNA, 840 nt
Organism: Uranotaenia lowii
Lineage: Eukaryota; Metazoa; Arthropoda; Insecta; Diptera; Culicidae
Exons: 4
Source: RefSeq, a predicted model, not a curated record